This 328-nucleotide ribosomal RNA is filed under the name uncultured Bacteroidota bacterium. RNAcentral describes it as "bacterial SSU rRNA". It matches the Rfam family "Bacterial small subunit ribosomal RNA", at positions 28 to 351 of the family's 1533-position model. The record is from RNAcentral. Lineage: Bacteria; Pseudomonadati; Bacteroidota.
GAUGAACGCUAGCGGCAGGCUUAAUACAUGCAAGUCGAGGGGCAGCACAGUAUAGCAAUAUAUGGGUGGCGACCGGCAAACGGGUGCGUAACACGUACGCAACUUACCCUUUACUGGGAGAUAGCCCAGGGAAACUUGGAUUAAUAUCCCAUAUUGCAGAGAAUCGGCAUCGGUUUUCUGCCAAAGUUCCGACGGUAAAGGAUGGGCGUGCGGUUGAUUAGGUAGUUGGCGGGGUAACGGCCCACCAAGCCUACGAUCAAUAGCUGAUGUGAGAGCAUGAUCAGCCACACGGGCACUGAGACACGGGCCCGACUCCUACGGGAGGCUG